GGACCUAUAGCUCAGUUGGCUAGAGCGCCACGUUGACAUCGUGGAGGUCACAGGUUCGAGUCCUGUUAGGUCCAC
Molecule: transfer RNA, 75 nt
Filed under: Fuerstiella marisgermanici
Lineage: Bacteria; Pseudomonadati; Planctomycetota; Planctomycetia; Planctomycetales; Planctomycetaceae
Description: Fuerstia marisgermanicae tRNA-Val
Rfam family: tRNA
About the family: Transfer RNA (tRNA) molecules are approximately 80 nucleotides in length. Their secondary structure includes four short double-helical elements and three loops (D, anti-codon, and T loops).
Source: RNAcentral